GAUGAACGCUAUCUAAGGCUUAACACAUGCAAGUCGAGGGGCAUCAGGACGAUAGCUUGCUAUUGUUGCUGGCGACCGGCGCACGGGUGAGUAACGCGUAUCCAACCUUCCCCUUAGUAGCGGAUAGCCCGGUUUACUUCUUGGAUUAAUACGCUAUGUUAUCCGAAGAGGACAUCUGAAUUGGAUUAAAGAUUCAUCGCUAAGGGAGGGGGAGCGACUGAUUAGGUAGCCUUUCGUGGGUAACGGCCCCGCCGAGCGCGCACCACUCAGUAGGGGUUCCUGAAACGGAAGGUCCCCCACAUUGGGAACUGAAGACACGGGCCCAACCUCCUACGGGAGGGAGCAGUGAGGAAUAUUGGUCAAUGGGGCGAAAACCUGAACCAGCCAAGUAACGCGGAAGGAUGACGGGCCCUAGGGGUGGUAAACUGGCUUUUGCAUGGGAAUAAAGUGGAGGAACGUGUCCCUUUUUUUUUGGUCCAUGGAAAAUAAGGACGGGCAUAAUUUCGUGGCCAGGAGCCCGCGGAUAUUACGAAAGGGCCGGGGCGUUAUACCGGAAUUAUUGGGUUUAAAGGAACACACGCCUGCCUGUCUAAGCGUGGAGUGGAAAUCGCAGGGGCUCUACACACAGUGUGAGAAAUGUGCUGCCUU
RNAcentral lists this ribosomal RNA (648 nucleotides) under uncultured bacterium. Its description in RNAcentral is "bacterial SSU rRNA". It matches the Rfam family "Bacterial small subunit ribosomal RNA", at positions 28 to 643 of the family's 1533-position model. The record is from RNAcentral.